RNAcentral lists this small nuclear RNA (289 nucleotides) under Saimiri boliviensis boliviensis (Bolivian squirrel monkey). Its description in RNAcentral is "7SK RNA (ENSSBOG00000002423.1)". It matches the Rfam family "7SK RNA". From Rfam's summary of the family: 7SK was discovered as an abundant small nuclear RNA in the mid-70s but a possible function has only recently been suggested. Two independent studies have found that 7SK RNA binds the CDK9/cyclin T complex (known as elongation factor P-TEFb). P-TEFb activates transcription by phosphorylating the C-terminal domain of RNA polymerase II. Lineage: Eukaryota; Metazoa; Chordata; Mammalia; Primates; Cebidae. The record is from RNAcentral.
GGAUGUGAGGGUCAUCUGGCUGAGACAUCUGUCACCCUACUGAUGGCCAGGGUUGAUUCAGCUGAUCUGGCCGGCUAGGUGGGUGUUCCCUUUCUCACAGCUCCAUGUGCGUCUCUCCUGAGGUUGCUUGGUCAAAGAGUAUGACUUUUCAUGAUAGAGGAGGAUUAUUCUUCAGUCAAGCGUAUGUAAGUCUUUGUGCUCUCCUGUUAGGACCUCCCAAAAAGAUAUGUGUAUGUAAAUUAAUAUAUAUAUAUUUGAUUAUGUAUAAUUUAGUUAUGUGCAAACCACA